GUCCACGCUGUAAACGAUGUGCACUAGGCGUGGGGCCCGUACGGGUUCUGUGCCGUAGUUAACGUGUUAAGUGCACCGCCUGGGGAGUAUGCUCGCAAUGGUGAAACUCAAAGGAAUUUACUGGGGCCCGCACAAGCGGUGGAGCAUGUGGUUUAAUUCGAUGGUACACGAGGAACCUUACCAGGGCUUGACAUGUGCGUGAAUGUUCACGAGAGUGGGCAGCCCCGCAAGGGGCGCGCACACAGGUGCUGCAUGGCUGUCGU
This 263-nucleotide ribosomal RNA is filed under the name uncultured bacterium. RNAcentral's name for it is "partial 16S ribosomal RNA". It matches the Rfam family "Bacterial small subunit ribosomal RNA", at positions 793 to 1055 of the family's 1533-position model. The record is from RNAcentral.